RNAcentral lists this long non-coding RNA (327 nucleotides) under Oryza sativa tropical japonica subgroup. RNAcentral describes it as "lncRNA OsKeNa_06g0016920". The record is from RNAcentral. Lineage: Eukaryota; Viridiplantae; Streptophyta; Magnoliopsida; Poales; Poaceae.
GCGGAGUGGUCGGGGAGCUACGACCGGUGCGGAUCAGGUGGCAGGGUGGCAGUAGUGCUCCGGUUGGCGCAGAUCAAAGGGCAGCGCGGCCUGCAGCGAGCUCCGUCUGUUGUGAAGGCAGGGGCCGUGAUAAGCCCCGUGGCGGCGCUGUCCUAUCUCCCAGUCGGUGCGGGCUACAUGAUCCGGGUCAACGGGGUGCAUGAAGCCAAUGAUGACAGGUUGUGGGAUGCAAAGCGCAGCAGCGGACUAUGGGAUCUGGUCGAGGGAGUGCGAGACCUGACAGUGCGGCUGACAACUAUUCAAGUACACGUUCAUGGUCGUGAAUGA